GGUGCCACACUUCCUGGUCCUCUCUGGCUGCGUCUGAGGGCCUUAGCUCUGGCCAGGGGCGCUGCAACGGGCUCAGCCUUCUAGGGGUGGCGGGUGAAGGCCUACACCUGCCCCAGGACGGCCAGGUCCACCAGCACCUGCAACAGACGGAGAACUGAAGGAGCAUCUUGAAGCUGUGGCUGUCUUGAAGGUGUCGCCGCUUGUCCUCACGAGCACCAUUUUGAUUCUCGUGCCCUGUGUGCAUGGGUGGCCAGCGUUGCUGGUAGGGCUCCUGCACGCUCAGAGUGGCCUUGGCCAGGAAGUCCAGGGUUUCCGCAGGCAGAGUGUAUGAACAAGGUACUGAGAAGAUCACAUACUGCAUGUCCUCCUAAAACCUGGUCCUGGCAUAACCUUCUAAGCUGUUUUAUUCAGGUUUGGCAGAUACAUCAAGCCAGUUCAUUAAUGCACAGAUGAUUCCUUCACAUUAAGAAAGACACGUUGGAGCACCAUAAAUGUCAAGGCAGUUAUUACACACAAAAAGCAUAAAAUGGCAACCAUCAAAAGAUUCAUAGCCAAAAGGGACUUGCCUUAUCUCAGUUGAGGCUUUGGACUUGGAACUUUGAGAAUAACCAGCAAUGUUCCAGAAAUUAUCUGCUCUCUCGCCCUGGUCUCAACUUGCAGAAGAUGGGAAGCAGAGCUCCCAGCCUGCCCAAGAUGAACAUGUGGUAUAGACAAGAAAUACACCUCUGUUCUUUUAAGCUUCUGAGAUUUUGUAUAUGUUUGUUUCUUACCAAACCACAUAUCCAAAGUUACUAAUUGAUGUAAUUUGUAUUUGGAAAGAAACUCAUUUACAACUAUUUUUAUUCUAAA
Molecule: long non-coding RNA, 849 nt
Filed under: Homo sapiens (human)
Lineage: Eukaryota; Metazoa; Chordata; Mammalia; Primates; Hominidae
Description: novel transcript
Source: RNAcentral